This is a long non-coding RNA of Physeter macrocephalus (sperm whale), 1944 nucleotides long. RefSeq lists it as uncharacterized. The transcript has 3 exons. Lineage: Eukaryota; Metazoa; Chordata; Mammalia; Artiodactyla; Physeteridae. The record is from RefSeq and is a predicted model, not a curated record.
ACUCCUUUCUUGAGGUGCAAGAGGUCACACUGUGCAGGAUGGGGUGCGGGGAGAAGAAUGGGAGCCACGGGCCUUCGCCGUGUGCCGGACAUACACCAGGGAAGGUGAGCGAAUGAGCACCUUAUUGAAAAGCCAUCUUCCCCAGAAUUCCCCAGACUUGGGGGAAGGAGGGCAAAGACAGUCUUGGAACCUUGGAGCGCAGAGCCAGCCAGCCAGCCUGCACCUGCAGGGACACGGGAGGAGCCCUUUACGAGCAUCUCAGAGAAAGGAAGCGGCAGCAGCAAGCAGCGGAGGCGGAUGUGAUCCAGGACAGGUCUGGCGGGAGAGGGGGCGGUAUGGGGGGCGCAGCCCCCAGCGCUCCUGGGACAGCUUUGAGACUUUGGUCCUUCCCCAAAGGAAAGCAUUUCACCCGGCAGCAGUCCACCUUCUAGAAACCCUCACACUGAGCCUUCAGAGACUCCAGAGAAGGAGCUUUUCUAUCUGACUGCCUGGUACACGGCCCAUGACGUUCACUCUGUGUGCUCACUUAUCUGCUGCAGGAUGAAUUACGUUCCAGGCUAAAUGCGAGAAUCUGAAAAAUGUGACUGCUGAACAGGGCUGAAUCCUUGUGCUUAAAGGAGCAGAUGGCAAUUCCUCCCUGGAGUCUGACUUUUUCUCUUUUUGCUCUGCCUCUGGCACACGGGGACCUCGGCCUCGGCCCUGCAGUCUCCAGGACUUGAAGAGAUGUCUCCAAACAGACCAACCCAUUCCUGUCCAGCUUGUUCAGAGGCUCUGCGGGUGACAGAGUGACAGCAAUGGCUACCCAAGUGUGGGGUUUACCUUGUGGGGUUCUCUUCCUCUACCUGUGAUUAACGGAGACUUCAUCACUUCCUGGGGACCCCUGAUCUGUAAAUUACAGCGAACAAUAACUGAAGCCUUCUGAUUUGCUUGGCACCUAAGUGCUUUGUAUACAGUAUCUCAUUUAACCCUUCUAACUACCCCAUGAGGUAGGGGCUACCACUAUCCCCACUUUACAGAUGAGGAAACUGAGGCUCAAAGAGGUUAAAUAACUUGCCAAGUCAUACAGCUAGGAAGUGGUGGUGGUGCCCCAGGACUCCAGCCCCACCGGUCUAACACCUCGGCCCAUGCUCUCAACGCCCCUGCUUUGUUCAACACCUCUCACUUGAGCAAGAGUGUGUCAAACUCCAAACACCUUUUGGCUUUUUAUAAGGCACUCCCUACCCACCAGCCCAGGUCUCUCAGCUGCACAGCACAGUCUCACGGGCUCUUCUCACAGGAAAGAACAGCCAAGGGCUGGACGGAGGCCACCCUCUGCUCAUCGCUGAUUCCCAAGGCCUGAGAGAGGGGCUGGAGGACAAGGAGGACCAAAUUAAUCUGGGCACUGGGCUCCAGGGAAGGGCUUGAGCGCCAAGGUCAAUACCAAAGCACUGGACCUUCAUGAUGCUUUUCAAGGCAAGACGGUAAGAGUCCAGUGGAGCGCAAAGGCCUCCUCCUUAGGGAGGCCAACAGAGCGGAGAAGUGCAGAGGGCAACACCAACGGGAGGCCCUGAGAUCUACCCCAACCCGGUCCGAGCCUCCAGCGCUGCCGGGGCUCCUGGACAGACUCUUGUUCUGGCAUCUUCACCUGGAGGUAGCUUUAAAGGAGCGUGUGCUUACAGGCUGUGCUGCUGAACCCCCAUUACUCUGUUAUCUUGUCUUACCUAGUGAUGCCACAAGGCUCUUUCAAAAAACUGUUACCAUGGGAACUUUUCCCUCUCAAGCAUUUUUCAAGAAAUGUUACAGGUGCUGGAGAAUCCAACGCCCUUGGUCUCACCAAGCAUUUUCUGAGUCUUUGAACGUGUGGCUUCAAUAAAGAGGACUUUCAAACCCAUGAUGCAAGGGUUUUGAACACAAAUCUCUUCAAGGGAUGGGGUUAAUCACACAGGGCAUGGGGUGCUAUGAUGG